CCUGCUCAAUGAAAUUAAAUAGCCGCAAUUUUAGUGCUAAGGUAGCAUAAUAAUUUGUUCCCUAAUUGGGAAAUUGCAUGAAUGAAUACACAUUUAUAUUCUAUAAUUUAUACUUACAUUUAAAUUAAAUUAAAGAUUAAAAUAUCUUUAUUAAAAAGGAAGACGACAAGACCCUAAGAACUUAACUAAUAGAUUAACUGGGGAAGUUAUAUAAAUAUAAUUUAUUAAAUAAAUAACCAUAUAAGCUAAAUAGAAUUUAAACAAAGUUACCUUAGGGAUAACAGCGCAAUUUAUAUUUUAAGAUCUUAUAAAAAUAUAAAAUUACGACCUCGAUGUUGAAUUAAUAUGUCUAUAAUAAGCAUAAAUAUUACAAGAAAGUCUGUUCGACUUAUAACCUAUUACAU
This 404-nucleotide ribosomal RNA is filed under the name Fageicera sp. 498 FL-2019. Its description in RNAcentral is "partial large subunit ribosomal RNA". Lineage: Eukaryota; Metazoa; Arthropoda; Arachnida; Araneae; Ochyroceratidae. The record is from RNAcentral.